CUAAGAAAUAGAGGUCGCGGAAACGACGAACGCUGAGGAGUGCCUGUCACGUUGAAUCAGCCGUAAGCGAAUCCGCCGAAACGCAUUCUGCCACAGGGGCAGGGCGCGUUGGGCCAGUUUGGGGAAACCCGCUGGACUGUCGAAGCCUAGCUUCGGAGCGCUAUGAUUCUG
Molecule: non-coding RNA, 171 nt
Filed under: Lacticaseibacillus camelliae
Lineage: Bacteria; Bacillati; Bacillota; Bacilli; Lactobacillales; Lactobacillaceae
Also listed under: 1 other name
Description: Lactobacillus camelliae Lysine sequence
Rfam family: Lysine riboswitch aptamer
About the family: Riboswitches are metabolite binding domains within certain messenger RNAs that serve as precision sensors for their corresponding targets. Allosteric rearrangement of mRNA structure is mediated by ligand binding, and this results in modulation of gene expression.
Source: RNAcentral